CUGCACACGGAUGUGCAGAAAAGUUUUAAAUAAUGAGUUUUGCGGAGCAAAACUCGAGUUCAAAACCGCACAGGACGUGCGGUUUUGAAACAAAC
Molecule: small RNA, 95 nt
Filed under: Treponema maltophilum ATCC 51939
Lineage: Bacteria; Pseudomonadati; Spirochaetota; Spirochaetia; Treponematales; Treponemataceae
Description: TD-2 RNA
Rfam family: TD-2 RNA
About the family: non coding RNA found in Treponema denticola
Source: Rfam by way of RNAcentral